AGUGACUUUGUGCGUGCGUUCGU
Molecule: non-coding RNA, 23 nt
Filed under: Rattus norvegicus (Norway rat)
Lineage: Eukaryota; Metazoa; Chordata; Mammalia; Rodentia; Muridae
Source: RNAcentral